Non-coding RNA from Pelobates cultripes (western spadefoot toad), 614 nucleotides. The record is from the annotation of a GenBank genome assembly. NCBI's taxonomy places the organism in Eukaryota, Metazoa, Chordata, Amphibia, Anura, Pelobatidae.
AUGCACUGUACAAAAGAGAAUUUUCAUGUUGCAAGAUUGGUCAUAUAAAAUGUUUAUUGCCAAUUAGCAAUAUAUCAGCUAUAAAAGAGGUCUUAAUUAGCCAUUUGAUAUGUACAAUUUCAAAGCAACUAUUGUAGCAGAGAUGCCAAAUAUUAGUGACAGAAUUCCAGGUACAUUGGUCAUAAAAGCUAAAAAAAGUAUUAUGGAAACGGUCUCAAAAAUAAUGACAACAUACCACGCAAGGACAAUCAGGACCAUCAAAAAGGAGCAGUGGUCUCAAAUUAAAGUUCACCAACAGAGAUCCUGGUUGAUGAACUCCAUAACAACAAAAAAGAGAAAAAUAGCAAAAUGAAUAGAAUUGAAACAGUACAUUUAUGUCCCAAUACCAACAGAAAAUGUACACCAAAAACAAAAACACACAAAUCAUGGAACCCGAAGUAAUUUAAAACAAUGUUUUCUUUUUUCCUACAUUUGAAUGUGAUUUAGACAUAUAUUGUUGAGUGUUUCCAUUAUUUUGUCCAUUUCUUGUAUAUUUUUUUUAUCCACACGAUCAGGUUUAAAAUUACUAAACUGAGAGUUGUGGAUAAGGAAUUGCAAAUUUUAGGCCAAAACAG